RNAcentral lists this ribosomal RNA (638 nucleotides) under Amanita aff. pantherina 08001. Its description in RNAcentral is "eukaryotic LSU rRNA". It matches the Rfam family "Eukaryotic large subunit ribosomal RNA", at positions 35 to 652 of the family's 3401-position model. The record is from RNAcentral. Lineage: Eukaryota; Fungi; Basidiomycota; Agaricomycetes; Agaricales; Amanitaceae.
UAAGCAUAUCAAUAAGCGGAGGAAAAGAAACUAACAAGGAUUCCCUUAGUAACUGCGAGUGAAGAGGGAAGAGCUCAAAUUUAAAAUCUGGCAGUGUUUUGCUGUCCGAGUUGUAAUCUAGAGAAGUGCUGCCCGUGCUGGACCGUGUACAAGUCUCCUGGAAUGGAGCGUCACAGAGGGUGAGAAUCCCGUCUUUGACAUGGACUGCCAGUGCAUUUGUGGUGUGCUCUCAAAGAGUCGAGUUGUUUGGGAAUGCAGCUCUAAAUGGGUGGUAAACUCCAUCUAAAGCUAAAUAUUGGCGAGAGACCGAUAGCGAACAAGUACCGUGAGGGAAAGAUGAAAAGAACUUUGGAAAGAGAGUUAAACAGUAUGUGAAAUUGUUGAAAGGGAAACGCUUAAAGUCAGUCGUGUCGGCCAGGGAUCAACUCAGUUUUCUUUGCUGGGUGUACUUCCUGAUCUGAUGGGCCAACAUCAGUUUUGACUGCUGGAGAAGGAUAGAGGGAAUGUGGCACCUUCGGGUGUGUUAUAGCUCUCUGUCGGAUGCAGUGGUUGGGACUGAGGAAAGCAGCAUGCCGCAAGGCCGGGUUUCGACCACGUUCAUGCUGAGGAUGUUGGCAUAAUGGCUUUAAUCGACCCGU